RNAcentral lists this ribosomal RNA (402 nucleotides) under uncultured bacterium. RNAcentral's name for it is "bacterial SSU rRNA". It matches the Rfam family "Bacterial small subunit ribosomal RNA", at positions 362 to 757 of the family's 1533-position model. The record is from RNAcentral.
UAUUGGACAAUGGGCGAAAGCCUGAUCCAGCCAUGCCGCGUGUGUGAAGAAGGCCUUUUGGUUGUAAAGCACUUUAAGUGGGGAGGAAAAGCUUAUGGUUAAUACCCAUAAGCCCUGACGUUACCCACAGAAUAAGCACCGGCUAACUCUGUGCCAGCAGCCGCGGUAAUACAGAGGGUGCAAGCGUUAAUCGGAAUUACUGGGCGUAAAGCGCGCGUAGGUGGUUAUUUAAGUCAGACGUGAAAGCCCCGGGCUUAACCUGGGAACUGCAUCUGAUACUGGAUAACUAGAGUAGGUGAGAGGGGAGUAGAAUUCCAGGUGUAGCGGUGAAAUGCGUAGAGAUCUGGAGGAAUACCGAUGGCGAAGGCAGCUCCCUGGCAUCAUACUGACACUGAGUGCGAA